Long non-coding RNA from Corvus hawaiiensis (hawaiian crow), 1843 nucleotides. RefSeq lists it as uncharacterized. Lineage: Eukaryota; Metazoa; Chordata; Aves; Passeriformes; Corvidae. The transcript is spliced from 6 exons. The record is from RefSeq and is a predicted model, not a curated record.
GUGCGCAAGGGGCAGCUCUUUCCCUCUGAGAGGGCGAUUCGGCUGGCAACGCAGCAUGGUGUCUCUGACCAGGGAUACUGUUGCUUUGUGUUUUUUGCCUGUUUCUUUUUCUUUUCUUUUCCUUUGGCACUGUGACUGGGCUUGCUGGCUUGCUUCUUUGCUUCUCUGCUGUUGGAGAGCCCAGAGCCAGUGCAUGCCGCUCUGGGACCCAGCAGCACUCUGUUCCUCUCCGGGGGCCGCCCCCCUCUGCACAGCCUGCACCCAGGGACCAGCCAUCAGAGGCUCCCAGCGUCCCAGAGCCUUGAAAGCACCAGGAUCUGGGACUCCGUGGGAAUACGCACUAUGGUGUGACUCUGGAGCUGUGAAGUGAAAUGAGCUAUACAGAAUGGACCCUGCAAGCUCUAAAAACCCCCAAAAGACAGAGGUGAGCUGGCAGUAAAAUUUGUGCAAUUAAAUCAGAAGAUAACCUAUGGUUUGUCAGAAGUUCAUGUACACUGAGACACAUCUCUAAAACAGCAAGAAAGAGACAUUUUUUCCACAGAAAACCACAUCAUUGAAAAAAUUCCUAGCACAUUUCAAAGCCGCAAUCAGUAACUGAGCAGAAAUCCAGCUUUAGGAUUGGAAAAGGGAUUUUGUUCUUUGUUGGUCCUUUAGUGGCUUACACAGCUCCAGUGCUGAGGACUGAAGGGAUUGCAGAUGACUCCCAAGAAUCUAAUGGUCCCAGUGAGACAGAGAGAAGAGAGAGGCAGGUAUGUGCUACCCUUUGCUCUGGGAUGCGUUUGAAAACACACACAAAAAAUAUCACAUAGAACAGAAAGACCAGGUAGUUUGCAUUUUAGUAGUUGCUACAUUUGGCUAUGCACAUAGAUCUAGAAUGGGUCAAACUAACUUAAGAUCCAUGAAUUUCUGUUUAACAGGACUAUCAGUCCCACGUUAGCUUUUUUCCCACAAUCUUAGACAAAAACAUGGUAUUUCAUUCUAUGUCAAACGUACUGUGUGUGCUGUUGGAAAACUGUUCAGCUGAAUUACUUCAGGAGGUAGCACCUGGGUUACAUAAAAUAAUGCCACAUAUUAAAUCUCUUUUUUAUGCCAGGUAAUCUCUUUCCAUUAAGAGGAGCCUCUCAUUGGGAAAUAUAUCUUAUUUUAUCAGUUUUAGCUUCAGCUGAUCUUUUUUACCUCUUUUUGUUGAGACCCACUUCACUUUAUGGUAAACCUUCAAAACCCAUGUGGCAGAAUUUGUGCCCACCAGAACAAGAAGCGUCUAGCAAGAUGAGCUACGAGGGUGGUUAUACCCACAAGAAUGAAACAAUACUCAACACAUUUCCUCUUAUCAUGGAACUUACCAAAAGAUCACUUAAACUGAUGGCACUCCUUCUAUGGACUUCAACAAGCUUUGGAUCAGAUGAAUCCUGCACAGUAUCAACACCUGAGAUCUCAGCUCAGCCUUGACACUGUUUCUCAUAGGAGCUGUUGUAAAGCACUUGCACUUGACAGUCAGGAGAAGGAACAGAAACACCCCACAGGCUUUCAGAACCACAGUGACAACAUAGGAGGACAAUGAUAAUGAAAGAAGCAUCGCUCAUGUGAAAUAUGCUGUGUAAAAAGGAUCUACUUCCAUAUAUGCAGUAAUGAAGCACUUGUGAAGGUGUUGCCUGGAGAUGUCAGCUCUCCCCCCAAAAGAUCAUAGCCAAGCAUUUCCUGUGACUUUUGUUGCUAUAACUCCUCCUGUCACAUGCUUGCGUGUUCAUCGUGGCUGCUUGUCCUGCAUGGCCGCCGCCUCGCCGACUCCGACGUCUCGGCCGGGCCCCCGCGUUGCGGCUGCUCCGCGCUCUCCGAGUGGCGC